GUCCUGUAUAUCCUUUUUAUUUUAUUUCCAACACAAGACGUGCUUCCAUCCACUACAAAUGUGUUUCCAUUAUAAUUUCUUUUUGCAAAAUUAAAAUGCUUCUAGCAUAACAUUUUUUCUGUUUAUGUGCUUCAUCUACUUAUAAAACAUCUUUCAGACAUAGUACAUUUUUGCUUCCUUCACCAGUAAUACAAUGCUUCCUAAGAUCAUAUCAUGCGUAUCCCACAAACUACAGACUUGCUUCCAUUCAGUGCUUCCUACAUAUAGUGGUGUGCUAGCUUCCUUCCAACCGUUAGGUGAUCCAGAUGAUCCAAGUGACGUCAAUUGAGGGGUGCACGAACGGAGUGAAGCUGCAACAUGGACACACAAUUAGCCGAGAUUUCAAUUGAUGGCAAAGUAGUUGAGGCUAUGAUUUACCUAUCCUUUGAGGGCGACCCAAGGCGGCCAUGGUUGCAUGCGACCUCCACGCCGCCGUCGCCUUAUGCGAGCCACAUCGUGAACGCACCGGAGUCCAUCGCCUCGCUCGCUAAUGCAUUAUGAACGCACCGGUGAUCGAAGUAAUUGUAGAUGACGGCGACGGAGAUGGGGUUGCGAGCUCGCUGCUCCUGUACCUCGAUCAUGGCAGCUUAGUACUCCUAGAUGGCAACUCGCUGCAUAAUCAGAAAGUACAUCGGGGAUGCGGUUGACGGCUAGCAAGGAGAGGUGCGUGGGGAAGAGAGAGGAAACGGGAUCUGGAGCAAUAAACGGACAGGUAAUUAAGGAGUUAGCGUUAUCUGCU
This 778-nucleotide long non-coding RNA is filed under the name Hordeum vulgare. Its description in RNAcentral is "long non-coding RNA (HVUL_LNC019242)". Lineage: Eukaryota; Viridiplantae; Streptophyta; Magnoliopsida; Poales; Poaceae. The record is from RNAcentral.